Molecule: transfer RNA, 363 nt
Filed under: uncultured Microcystis sp.
Lineage: Bacteria; Bacillati; Cyanobacteriota; Cyanophyceae; Chroococcales; Microcystaceae
Description: partial 16S-23S ribosomal RNA intergenic spacer
Rfam family: tRNA (bases 134-207)
Source: RNAcentral
AAAGGGAGACCUAAUUCGGGUAUAAGACGAAAAAAUAGUAGUCGAAACCAAGAAUCAAUCCCAAAAGGUCGGAACGAGGUAUGUGGCUUUCAAACUAGGUUCUGGGUUCAUAAAAGACCUGAAUCAGGAACAAGGGCUAUUAGCUCAGGUGGUUAGAGCGCACCCCUGAUAAGGGUGAGGUCCCUGGUUCGAGUCCAGGAUGGCCCACCUGCACAGGUGGCAAAAACAAAGAAAAGAAGCGAGGAAUCAGCACCUUAUCUUACUUAUAUAGUAAGAGAGAAUGCUGGCUCUGAGUACAGAGUCCAGAGGAACCUUGGAAACUGCAUAGAGCUAGGUGAAAAAGCCAAAAAAGAAGACCGCAAG